AUACGAAGGGGGCUAGCGUUGCUCGGAAUCACUGGGCGUAAAGGGCGCGUAGGCGGACAUUUAAGUCAGGGGUGAAAUCCCGGGGCUCAACCUCGGAAUUGCCUUUGAUACUGGGUGUCUCGAGACCGGAAGAGGUAAGUGGAACUGCGAGUGUAGAGGUGAAAUUCGUAGAUAUUCGCAAGAACACCAGUGGCGAAGGCGGCUUACUGGUCCGGUUCUGACGCUGAGGCGCGAAAGCGUGGGGAGCAAACAGGAUUAGAUACCCUGGUAGUCCACGCCGUAAACGAUGGAUGCUAGCCGUUGGACAGCUUGCUGUUCAGUGGCGCAGAAAACUCAUUAAGCAUCCCGCCUGGGGAGUACGGUCGCAAGAUUAA
This 374-nucleotide ribosomal RNA is filed under the name uncultured bacterium. RNAcentral's name for it is "bacterial SSU rRNA". It matches the Rfam family "Bacterial small subunit ribosomal RNA", at positions 523 to 897 of the family's 1533-position model. The record is from RNAcentral.